GGAGGGUGCAAGCGUUGUCCGGAUUUAUUGGGUUUAAAGGGUGCGUAGGCGGCUCUUUAAGUCAGCGGUGAAAGUCCACAGCUUAACUGUGGGAUUGCCAUUGAUACUGAAGAGCUUGAGUAUAGUUGAGGUAGGCGGAAUUGACAGUGUAGCGGUGAAAUGCAUAGAUAUUGUCAAGAACACCGAUUGCGUAGGCAGCUUACUAAGCUAUAACUGACGCUGAGGCACGAAAGUGUGGGGAUCAAACAGGAUUAGAUACCCUGGUAGUCCACACUGUAAACGAUGAUCACUCGCUGUUGGCGAUAUACAGUCAGCGGCUUAGCGAAAGCGUUAAGUGAUCCACCUGGGGAGUACGCUCGCAAGAGUG
RNAcentral lists this ribosomal RNA (367 nucleotides) under uncultured bacterium. RNAcentral's name for it is "bacterial SSU rRNA". It matches the Rfam family "Bacterial small subunit ribosomal RNA", at positions 527 to 896 of the family's 1533-position model. The record is from RNAcentral.